GAUGAACGCUGGCGGCGUGCCUAAUACAUGCAAGUCGAGCGAACAGACGAGGAGCUUGCUCCUCUGACGUUAGCGGCGGACGGGUGAGUAACACGUGGAUAACCUACCUAUAAGACUGGGAUAACUUCGGGAAACCGGAGCUAAUUCCGGAUAAUAUAUUGAACCGCAUGGUUCAAUAGUGAAAGACGGUUUUGCUGUCACUUAUAGAUGGAUCCGCGCCGCAUUAGCUAGUUGGUAAGGUAACGGCUUACCAAGGCAACGAUGCGUAGCCGACCUGAGAGGGUGAUCGGCCACACUGGAACUGAGACACGGUCCAGACUCCUACGGGAGGCAGCAGUAGGGAAUCUUCCGCAAUGGGCGAAAGCCUGACGGAGCAACGCCGCGUGAGUGAUGAAGGUCUUCGGAUCGUAAAACUCUGUUAUUAGGGAAGAACAAAUGUGUAAGUAACUAUGCACGUCUUGACGGUACCUAAGCAGAAAGCCACGGCUAACUACGU
Molecule: ribosomal RNA, 496 nt
Filed under: uncultured bacterium
Lineage: Bacteria
Description: partial 16S ribosomal RNA
Rfam family: Bacterial small subunit ribosomal RNA
Source: RNAcentral